GCUUCCGUAGUUCAGCGGAUAGAACGCAGGACUUCUAAUCCUGAUGUCGCGGGUUCGAAUCCCGCCGGAGGUU
Molecule: transfer RNA, 73 nt
Filed under: Methanobacteriota archaeon
Lineage: Archaea; Methanobacteriati; Methanobacteriota
Description: Euryarchaeota archaeon tRNA-Arg
Rfam family: tRNA
About the family: Transfer RNA (tRNA) molecules are approximately 80 nucleotides in length. Their secondary structure includes four short double-helical elements and three loops (D, anti-codon, and T loops).
Source: RNAcentral